RNAcentral lists this ribosomal RNA (497 nucleotides) under uncultured bacterium. RNAcentral's name for it is "partial 16S ribosomal RNA". It matches the Rfam family "Bacterial small subunit ribosomal RNA", at positions 28 to 507 of the family's 1533-position model. The record is from RNAcentral.
GAUGAACGCUGGCGGCGUGCCUAAUACAUGCAAGUCGAGCGAACGGACGAGAAGCUUGCUUUUCUGAUGUUAGCGGCGGACGGGUGAGUAACACGUGGAUAACCUACCUAUAAGACUGGGAUAACCUCGGGAAACCGGAGCUAAUACCGGAUAAUAUUUUGAACCGCAUGGUUCAAAAGUGAAAGACGGUCUUGCUGUCACUUAUAGAUGGAUCCGCGCUGCAUUAGCUAGUUGGUAAGGUAACGGCUUACCAAGGCAACGAUGCAUAGCCGACCUGAGAGGGUGAUCGGCCACACUGGAACUGAGACACGGUCCAGACUCCUACGGGAGGCAGCAGUAGGGAAUCUUCCGCAAUGGGCGAAAGCCUGACGGAGCAACGCCGCGUGAGUGAUGAAAGUCUUCGGAUCGUAAAACUCUGUUAUUAGGGAAGAACAUAUGUGUAAGUAACUGUGCACAUCUUGACGGUACCUAAUCAGAAAGCCACGGCUAACUACGUG